CAGCCGUAAACUAUGCUCGCUAGGUGUCAGGCAUGGCGCGACCGUGUCUGGUGCCGCAGGGAAGCCGUGAAGCGAGCCACCUGGGAAGUACGGCCGCAAGGCUGAAACUUAAAGGAAUUGGCGGGGGAGCACCACAACAGGUGGAGCCUGCGGUUUAAUUGGACUCAACGCCGGAAAUACUCACCGGAUAAGACAGCAGAAUGAUUGCCGGGCUGAAGACUCUGCAUGACUAGCUGAGAGGAGGUGCAUGGC
Molecule: ribosomal RNA, 252 nt
Filed under: uncultured archaeon
Lineage: Archaea
Description: partial 16S ribosomal RNA
Rfam family: Archaeal small subunit ribosomal RNA
Source: RNAcentral